Molecule: ribosomal RNA, 309 nt
Filed under: uncultured Rhodobacterales bacterium
Lineage: Bacteria; Pseudomonadati; Pseudomonadota; Alphaproteobacteria; Rhodobacterales
Description: SSU rRNA
Rfam family: Bacterial small subunit ribosomal RNA
Source: RNAcentral
ACGAACGCUGGCGGCAGGCCUAACACAUGCAAGUCGAGCGCUACCUUCGGGUGGAGCGGCGGACGGGUUAGUAACGCGUGGGAAUAUACCCUUCACUAUGGAAUAGCCUCGGGAAACUGAGAGUAAUACCAUAUACGCCCUUCGGGGGAAAGAUUUAUCGGUGAAGGAUUAGCCCGCGUAAGAUUAGAUAGUUGGUGGGUAAUGGCCUACCAAGUCUACGAUCUUUAGCUGGUUUUAGAGGAUGAUCAGCAACACUGGGACUGAGACACGGCCCAGACUCCUACGGGAGGCAGCAGUGGGGAAUCUUAG